UUUCAAAUCCUCAAGCUCUGCUUGGUAUUGGACGGUUAGUCUGCUAAUAACGGACUCGUCAGAAAGACCUCGGCGGCGGUUCAGAAGCCUCAAGCGUACCAGAAAUAACUCGCUUUGUUAGGCCUUUUGAAUUGCUCGCUCCCAGAAAACCUCACUUCAAGGUUGACCUCGGAUCAGGUAGGGAUACCCGCUGAACUUAA
Molecule: unclassified non-coding RNA, 200 nt
Filed under: soil metagenome
Description: partial contains internal transcribed spacer 2 and large subunit ribosomal RNA
Source: RNAcentral